UGAAUACGAGACGCUAAGGCGUCGAAGUAGUGUAUGUCAUACUUCCAAGAAAAGCUUGCACUGUCAUAGAUAAAAAACGCCUGUACCAUAACCGACACAGGUGGGUAGGUAGAGUAUACCAAGGGGCGCGAGAUAACUCUCUCUAAGGAACUCGGCAAAAUGACUCCGUAACUUCGGGAGAAGGAGUGCCUUAUUCUUAAGGUUGCAAUAACAAGAUCCAAGCAACUGUUUAUCAAAAACACAGGUCUCCGCUAAGUCGUAAGACGAUGUAUGGGGGCUGACGCCUGCCCAGUGCCAGAAGGUUAAAGAAGUUGGUUAGCAUUUGCGAAGCUGAUAACUGAAGCCCUGGUGAACGGCGGCCGUAACAAUAACGGUCCUAAGGUAGCAAAAUUCCUUGUCGGGUAAGUUCCGACCCGCACGAAAGGCGUAAUGAUUUGGAUACUGUCUCGGAGAGGGGCUCGGUGAAAUAGACUUGUCUGUGAAGAUGCGGACUACCUGCACCAGGACAGAAAGACCCUAUGAAGCUUUACUGUAACUUGAAAUUGAAAUUGGACUUUAUUCGCGCAGUAUAGGUGGGAGGCGUUGAUUAUAAUCUUGCGGGAUUAUUGGAGCCAUCAGUGAGAUACCACCCUUGUAAUGUUAGAUUUCUAACUUUGAAUCAUUAUCUGGUCAAAGAACAGUUUCAGGCGGGCAGUUUGACUGGGGCGGUCGCCUCCUAAACGGUAACGGAGGCGUACAAAGGUUUCCUCUGAACGGUUAGAAAUCGUAUCUAGAGUGUAAAGGCAUAAGGAAGCUUGACUGUGAGACCUACAAGUCGAGCAGGGACGAAAGUCGGUCUUAGUGAUCUGACGGUACUGAGUGGAAAGGCCGUCACUCAACGGAUAAAAGUUACUCUAAGGAUAACAGGCUGAUCUCCCCCAAGAGUUCACAUCGACGGGGAGGUUUGGCACCUCGAUGUCGGCUCAUCGCAUCCUGGGGCGGUAGUACGUCCCAAGGGUUGGGCUGUUCGCCCAUGAAAGCGGUACGCGAGCUGGGUUCAGAACGUCGUGAGACAGUUCGGUCCAUAUCCGGUGUAGGCGUUAGAAUAUUGAGAGGAGCCUUCUUUAGUACGAGAGGACCGAGAAGGACAUACCUCUGGUGUACCAGUUAUCGUGCCAACGGUAAACGCUGGGUAGCUAUGUAUGGAGUGGAUAACCGCUGAAAGCAUCUAAGUGGGAAGCCCACCUCAAGAUAAGUAUUCCC
This 1242-nucleotide ribosomal RNA is filed under the name metagenome. Its description in RNAcentral is "bacterial LSU rRNA". It matches the Rfam family "Bacterial large subunit ribosomal RNA", at positions 1564 to 2815 of the family's 2925-position model. The record is from RNAcentral.